RNAcentral lists this small nuclear RNA (22 nucleotides) under Arabidopsis thaliana (thale cress). Its description in RNAcentral is "snRNA_16880". The record is from RNAcentral. Lineage: Eukaryota; Viridiplantae; Streptophyta; Magnoliopsida; Brassicales; Brassicaceae.
CGGCUGGAAGAGCACCGCACGU